CCAGCUCCAUGAUGACUGGCUCCAGACGAUGCACCAAGUCUUCGUAAGACUGGACGACACACAGAGAAGUAACGUCAGCUUCGAGAAUUCCGUCUGUGAUUCGGAAAGAGGGCGAGGAAACUCUGAGGCUUAGUCUGGAGAGGAGACGAGCACAGCUGAACAACAUCGGCGGGGCUGAUCUAACAGAGGCUAAAACCAAAACAGCUCGUGUUUGUGGUAAUCAUUUUAUCUCAGCUCACAGGAGCGCCAGCAAAUUAUAUGAUAGAAACAAUCCAGACUGGGCACCCACUCAGAACAUGGGCUAUGUUUCGUCCAAGGUUGGACUUGUUUCUUCGGCAGCUGAACCAGAUGGAACGCGAUGUCUGGGUACUCGAUGGUCGGUAGAAGCACCUUAUCUUCAGAAAAGUCUGAUUUUUUAAAUAAUAUGGGUCAAAACUACACAUAUCUAUCUUCUCUUUGUAUUGAAUCUUCACUCGACCGUUCAAAUCAUGGUAAUACUGAGAAGAUUCAUCACUGUUUACAGACACGCUUUCAGCGACUGCCAUCCUAGUUGCUUUGUACA
Long non-coding RNA from Neoarius graeffei (lesser salmon catfish), 562 nucleotides. RefSeq lists it as uncharacterized. The transcript is spliced from 3 exons. The record is from RefSeq and is a predicted model, not a curated record. Lineage: Eukaryota; Metazoa; Chordata; Actinopteri; Siluriformes; Ariidae.